Molecule: unclassified non-coding RNA, 1907 nt
Filed under: uncultured fungus
Lineage: Eukaryota; Fungi
Description: sequence contains 18S rRNA gene, ITS1, 5.8S rRNA gene, ITS2, 28S rRNA gene
Source: RNAcentral
GCCGACAGGACUCGGGCUAUGCGGUGAAGGACGAAUCGGAUUCCCGCCACAUCUAGGCGAUGCCCAACGCCAGUUGAUCUGCCCCGCCCACCUUAUGGUGCUACCCCUCCUCGCAGCCGGGAACGCUUCCGCUGGCGACCGCGGGCAGAGGGACACCCGCUCCGUCGUCCUCCCCCCCGGGCGACGGCGGAGCUUGGUUUCGCUCCGGCUGCCGGGCUGGCUGAUGGUCCUCCUCGCUCUCCCCUCGCUAGCGAUGCCGCGCGCCGCUGCGGCGCCCGUGGCCGCCGGGCGCGCCCUGGAGAAUCGGUUGCUCGUCGAGAUGGCCGUCAAGGGCACCAACGUCGCGAUGCUCUACCGCCUCGGAGACAUCUGCCAUGAGGCCGGCGCCAACGGAGACAAAAAGGCCGUCGAACGCGCCGAGGGGUACAUCCUGCGACUGCUGGCGAUCGAGUCCACCAACGCCCCCGCACUGGCCCUCCUCGGCUCCAUCCACACCAUGAAGGGCCGGGACGCCUUCUGGCCGACCACCCAACUGCGCCUGGUCCGUGAAGGCAACGACUACAUGGACCAGGCCGUGCAGCUUGCUCCGCACGACAUCCGCACGCGGAUCACCCGGGCCUUCAAUAAUGCGCACAUGCCCGAUUUCCUGGGCCGCACGGAGAUCGUCCGGGCCGACCUCAUCUGGCUCACGGAGCAGGCCGACAAGACACCGGACCGGUUCACCCUCAACGAGCGCCAGGAGAUCGCCUUGCACUGGGGUAGGCAGCUCAAGCGGCUGAACCGUCCCCAGGAAGCGCGGAAACUCUGGGAAACCGCCCUCGCCCUCGCCCCCGACUCAAAGCACGCCACCGAACUCGCCACCGAACUGUCGAAACUCCGGUGAAUCAAACCCGUCACCGCCAUCGACCACCGCCCGCUGACCGGCCAUCCUGCGCCCCGCAAUUAGCCGACCUCCGCCCCGUGCCCAAGACCGCCCCAACGGCCAGCCGCGAGAAAACGGUCCCCCCCCCCUGGCGCUCGGACCUCGCCGAGAUCCUGAUCACCGAAGCGGCAAUCGCCCGCCGCGUGCGAGAACUCGCCAAAGAGAUCCUCCGCGACUUCGCCGGCCGCGAUACCGUCGUGGUGGCCGUCCUCAACGGCACCCUGAUGUUCCUGGCCGACCUCAUCCGCCAUCUCCCCCUCCCGCUCCGGGUCGACUCCAUCGGCGUCUCCAGCUACGGCAACGGAACCGUGUCCGGCGAGUUGACCUUCACCAAACCGCCAGGCCUGGAUCUGCGCGGCAGUGACGUGCUGGUCGUCGACGACAUCCUCGACACCGGCAGGACCCUCCACCGGGUGGUCACCCAUCUGCGCCAGCUCAAGCCGCGUCGGCUGCGGAUCUGCGUGCUGCUCGGAAAGCAGUCGUGCCGCCAGGUCAGAAUCCGGGCCGACUACACGGGGUUCGCGAUCCCGGACGUAUUCGUGGUCGGGUACGGCCUCGAUUUCGCCGAGCGCUAUCGCAACCUGCCGUUCAUCGGGGUGCUGAAACCCGAGAUCGUCCAGCCCGGGCUCACUCAGCAAGCCCCAUCCCGGCCCGCCGCUGCGGCGCGCGCGACCCGACGCUUCUGAACCCGGGAACGCGCGCGGCCCAUGAGGCCCUUCGCCCAUGCCGCCUCUCGCAUCACCCUGCCCACCUUGAUGAACCCGUCCACCGCCACCGCCACCAUCCUCGUCCGCUACUGGUCGUGGUUCCGCGACCUCGCCGGCACCGACCACGAGUUGUUUCCGGUGACCACGGGGGCGACCCUCGGUGACCUGCUGGCCCAAGUUCACCACCGGCAUCCGCGACUGGCGGAAGUACGCCGCUCCACUCUCCUGGCCGUCGGCCUCGACUACCAACCCUUGACCCACCCACUCACCGACGGUGA